Molecule: long non-coding RNA, 1056 nt
Filed under: Canis lupus familiaris (dog)
Lineage: Eukaryota; Metazoa; Chordata; Mammalia; Carnivora; Canidae
Description: lncRNA (ENSCAFG00000054344.1, ENSCAFG00805026044.1)
Source: RNAcentral
CCAGACGGCGGGAAACCACCGCAGGUCAACGUGCCGAGUGCGGGACGCAGCUUCCUAGAAACCGCUGGGCGGGAGAAGGCGGGAUCCUGUCCCCGCUCAGAGACCUGAGGAUUUUCGGGAAGUUGUUAGUGUGAAUCACGAGUCGUGAUGGCGGUGAGAGCUGGGAGACAAACCACCGAGUAGAUCCUGGAGUCGAGGCGGCGAGACGGACACAGACGGAGGGAGGCGGCGAGAGGCGAGCCCCCCGCUGGACGGGUGGGACGCGGGGCUGGCGGAGAGGAGACCGCAGAGAUUCUUCAUGGCCUCUGAUAGUGGCUCACACUCCCUCCACGGGAAAGCUGCCCCGGGCCCUGGGGCGCUCAGCGGUUGAGCCUGUGUCCUCGGCUCAGGUCGUGAUCCUGGGGUCGCAGGAUCGAGUCCCACACCGAGCUCCCUGCGAGGAGCCUGCUUCGCCCUCUGCCUGUGUCUCUGCCUCUCUCUGUGUCUCUCACGUAUAGAUAAAUAAAGUUAAAAAAAAAAAAGACCAACAAAGGAAAGUUGCUCCAAAUAUCACUAUCAAACGAGGCCCAUGAGAAGUAACUUUGAAAGACUGGAGAAGAUCUAGAAGAAUUCUAUACUCAAAUUGUCUCACAAUUAAUAUAAUUUUUUACAUCAAUUUAAAGAAACUUAAAUGUGACAAAUGGAAGCUGUGCUUUAAAGAAAAAUGAGACAAAAAUUGCUAAUCAGCACAGCUAAUUAGAUAUGGGCCGGAAUCAAAAGAUUGGCAAAUCAUUUCUACUUAAAGUGUAUUUAUUUAGGUUAAAAGAGAAUUGAAGAUGUACACACUUCUGUUAAGAUUAUUAUUAUUCCACAAAAUCUUGCCAUUUGCAACAACACGGAUGGAGCUAAAGGGUAUCAUGCAGAGGGAAAUAAGUCAGUCAGGGGAAGACAAAUACCAUAUGAUCUCACCUGUAUAUGGCAUUUAAGAAACAAAACAGAUGAACAUGGGGAAGGAACAAAAAAUAAAAAGAUGAAAAUUAAGAGGGAGGCAAACCAUAAGAGACGCUGAACUCAAGG